GCGGGUGUAACUCAAUGGUAGAGUGUCAGCCUUCCAAGCUGAUUACGAGGGUUCGAUUCCCUUCACCCGCU
Transfer RNA from Clostridium acidisoli DSM 12555, 71 nucleotides. It matches the Rfam family "tRNA". From Rfam's summary of the family: Transfer RNA (tRNA) molecules are approximately 80 nucleotides in length. Their secondary structure includes four short double-helical elements and three loops (D, anti-codon, and T loops). Lineage: Bacteria; Bacillati; Bacillota; Clostridia; Eubacteriales; Clostridiaceae. The record is from Rfam.